This 86-nucleotide transfer RNA is filed under the name Gemmatimonadota bacterium. RNAcentral describes it as "tRNA-Ser". It matches the Rfam family "tRNA". Rfam says of the family: Transfer RNA (tRNA) molecules are approximately 80 nucleotides in length. Their secondary structure includes four short double-helical elements and three loops (D, anti-codon, and T loops). The record is from RNAcentral. Lineage: Bacteria; Pseudomonadati; Gemmatimonadota.
GGACGGGUGGCCGAGUGGUUUAAGGCGCACGCCCGGAAAGUGUGUACGUUAAUAGCGUACCGUGGGUUCGAAUCCCACCCCAUCCG